RNAcentral lists this ribosomal RNA (497 nucleotides) under uncultured bacterium. Its description in RNAcentral is "partial 16S ribosomal RNA". It matches the Rfam family "Bacterial small subunit ribosomal RNA", at positions 28 to 507 of the family's 1533-position model. The record is from RNAcentral.
GAUGAACGCUGGCGGCGUGCCUAAUACAUGCAAGUCGAGCGAACGGACGAGAAGCUUGCUUCUCUGAUGUUAGCGGAGGACGGGUGAGUAACACGUGGAUAACCUACCUAUAAGACGGGGAUCACUUCGGGAAACCGGAGCUAAUACCGGAUGAUAUUUUGAACCGCAUGGGUCAAAAGUGAAAGACGGUCUUGCGGUCACUUAUAGAUGGAUACGCGCUGCAUUAGCUAGUUGGUAAGGUAACAGCUUACCAAGGCAACGAUGCAUAGCCGACCUGAUAGGGGGGUAGGCCACACUGGAACUUAGACGCCGACCAGACUCCUACGGGACGCAGCAGUCGGGAAUCUUCCGCAGUGGGCGGAAGCCUGACGGAGCAACCCCGCGUGAGUGACGAAGGUCUUCGGAUCGGAAAACUCUGUUAUGAGGGAUGAACAUAUUUGUAAGGAACCGUGCACAGCUUGACGGUACCUAAUCAGAAAGCCCCGGCUAACUACGUG